GGUGAUUGUUCCUUGUUCUAGGGUGAAAUUGCUAUGUUGGUGUUGUCUAAAGAUUUAUGCCCUCAUGAUGUUUACUUGUCUUUGUUGAUUGGUUUUUACAAGCUAGAGCUGUUAGGAACCUAUGGGUUGGAGGAAUUAGUCUGUCUAUCUCAAAGCAGGAGGUAGAGGGAGAGUUUCAAAAGUUUGGAAAGGUUGAAGGUGUUGCAUUCUCCCAUGAUCAAACUUCUGCAUACAUCGACUUUGAGAAGCUGGAAGAUGCCAUUUCUGCCCAUAGAGCCUUGAAUGGGAUAGAUUAAGGGGGCAAGGAAUUGUGUGUUGAUUUCCAGAGGUCCAGAGGAAGAGCGGAACGGUCAGAAGCAGGCAACUUCAAUAGUAGAGGAUCAUUACCACCCGGUGAAAUGGGAAUUGGACAUGCAAAGGGUUCUGCUGGAGUACGAAUGAGAGAGUCAAAAAUUCCUACCAAUGUUCUCCGGGUGGGUUUACCCAAUACACAUAAAGUUAACGAGGAGGCACUAAGGCGGGCUAUGGCACCACAUGGUGUGGUUACAGACAUCAAAGUUUUUCCAGAAAGGCAGUAUGCUUUUGUGGAGUUUGCAACCAUUGAAGGAGCUUCUAAUGCUAAGAAUCUUCUAGAUGGGCGUCUUUUCAAUAAUGCAAGGAUUCAUGUUCUUUUCUCCAGCAGUGGGCUUGAUAACCUGACACCGCUUGUUGGGUUCCCUAGACCAGAGAUGUAGAAUGAGUCCACAUGCCGCAUGUGAUUAUUUUGGUGCUGGUCGCAGUAGUCAUGGUGCUCGACGUGGAAGGUCAAGAUAAUUGGACUAUGGUGCAAUGCC
This is a long non-coding RNA of Aegilops tauschii subsp. strangulata, 833 nucleotides long. RefSeq lists it as uncharacterized. The record is from RefSeq and is a predicted model, not a curated record. Lineage: Eukaryota; Viridiplantae; Streptophyta; Magnoliopsida; Poales; Poaceae.